UUAAAUGUCAUACACAAUUUUAGACAUGUUCAUGACUUAUUAUCCAAGUUGGUAAGCUUCACAAGUUUAUGACAAACUUUGCUUGCAAGACGUAAGUUCAUGAUAUAGUUGGAUCCGAAGGUAAAGAAGAAAUCAAUUCGAUAAGUUCAGAAAUCCGGAGGGUAUGUGAAGGGAGAAUUAUGAGUUUCAAAAUCUGAGGGAUUAAACAGGAUUG
This 214-nucleotide long non-coding RNA is filed under the name Musa acuminata (dwarf banana). Its description in RNAcentral is "long non-coding RNA (MACU_LNC010908)". The record is from RNAcentral. Lineage: Eukaryota; Viridiplantae; Streptophyta; Magnoliopsida; Zingiberales; Musaceae.